UACGUAGGUGGCAAGCGUUGUCCGGAAUUAUUGGGCGUAAAGAGCGUGUAGGCGGUCAGGUAGGUCGGUUGUGAAAACUGGAGGCUCAACCUUCAGAGGUCGACCGAAACCCCCUGGCUAGAGUCCGGGAGAGGAGAGUGGAAUUCCUGGUGUAGCGGUGAAAUGCGCAGAUAUCAGGAAGAACACCCGUGGCGAAAGCGGCUCUCUGGAACGGUACUGACGCUGAGACGCGAAAGCGUGGGGAGCGAACAGG
Molecule: ribosomal RNA, 253 nt
Filed under: uncultured bacterium
Lineage: Bacteria
Description: partial 16S ribosomal RNA
Rfam family: Bacterial small subunit ribosomal RNA
Source: RNAcentral